AUUUCAAUUCUUCUUGUGCUCUUUCAAUUUUUAAAUAAAUUUUCCGUCUAUAUUUCUCAAGAAAAUUCAUUCUCACUAUUCUUCUAUUGAAAAAUAACAAAACACGAUUGAGAUUCAUAAAUUUCGAAUCAUCGAAAUAGAAGAAAUUAAAGAACGAAUGAUUCGUGCGAGAAGAUUUUAAAAGUAAUCGAUGCUCUUCUCAAAGCAACUCUGUUCUACCAGAUUGAAUGUUACUCCUUUCACUCUGUUUCUGCGUAUUGAAACAGGCAUAUACUUCAAGUCACCUUUUAAAAUCGCACGUUCCCCAUGUUUGUGAAACAUUCGCACGGCUAACGCGAAAGAAAGCAACAGUUCAGCAUCCUCGAAACCAAGGAAACGAUAUAUAAGAAAAUAUAAAGAAACGAAUUAAAAUCCUUUCGAUCACCGUUACUAGAUUCAAACUACCUUUGCCAUGACGAUCCACAAUUUGAUUCGAAAUCUAUCCUCUCGGGACAUGCAAUCUUACAGGAAGUCAGCUCAGCGUGUUUCCUCGUUUCAGUUCACCUGUUCUAGUCCAUCUGAGAAAGUUGGCGGCCCUUCGACAUGGUUGUUGACCAUCGUCUUUACCACCUUCUUCGAUCACGUUUCGCGUGCUCCCGAUCCCUCGAUUAAAAAAAAAAAAAAAAAAACAACCUCGUGCUCGACGAUUUUCGCCACUUUGUUUGACGCGUGCUAUCCCAUAAGCAGUUCGUCCGAGCAGCGACGUAGUAAUACUUGGCGUGAAGCCUCGGGUGAGACGCCAGGUGGGCACCGGGAACAACCAUCUCUCUCCUCUCUCUUUACCUCGUUUUACCGCGCCCCACCUGCAUGCUACAGGCAAGGUUUAUCGGUGAACAAGAGGAUUCUUAAUUCUUUGGGGUCCGCAACGAAGGUCGAGGCGCCUCUAUAGGGUUCGACGAUCUUUACCGAGUGGAACAAUUCGAUUCCUUCUUUAUCGAUCGUGAUUCUUCUUCUCGUGAUCUUCUCGAUCGCGAUUUAGAAUGGCCCUUGAAUUCUCAUAAUAAUCGAGAAUAAUCGUAAAGGCGUAUAUCAUUUUAUGAUUUUGAAAUCACGUGAAUUGAAUUCAUGUAUCGUUUAUGUAUCGUUUUUUAAUCACCUGUGAUCAUCUUCGAAUUUGCGAUUAAAAUGGAACGACAUGCGAAAUACGAUAUUAUGAUAAGAAAUAAUAAUUUUACACUAUUUCAUCAAUUGAUCGAGAAAUGAAAAAUCUAAAUUAAAUUUAUUAAUUUUUAAUAUUGAUUCCUGUCUAUAUAUAUGCGCGCACAGAUAUGUAUGUAUGAAUGAAAUCUUUUUAAAUUAAAAACUUAAACUUUAAAA
Apis cerana (Asiatic honeybee) is the source of this 1356-nucleotide long non-coding RNA. RefSeq lists it as uncharacterized. The record is from RefSeq and is a predicted model, not a curated record. Lineage: Eukaryota; Metazoa; Arthropoda; Insecta; Hymenoptera; Apidae.